AUUGAACGCUGGCGGCAUGCCUUACACAUGCAAGUCGAACGGCAGCACGGGAGCAAUCCUGGUGGCGAGUGGCGAACGGGUGAGUAAUAUAUCGGAACGUGCCCAGUCGUGGGGAUAACGUAGCGAAAGCUACGCUAAUACCGCAUACGAUCUAUGGAUGAAAGCGGGGGAUCGCAAGACCUCGCGCGAUUGGAGCGGCCGAUAUCAGAUUAGGUAGUUGGUGAGGUAAAGGCUCACCAAGCCGACGAUCUGUAGCUGGUCUGAGAGGACGACCAGCCACACUGGGACUGAGACACGGCCCAGACUCCUACGGGAGGCAGCAGUGGGGAAUUUUGGACAAUGGACGCAAGUCUGAUCCAGCAAUGCCGCGUGCAGGAUGAAGGCCUCGGUUGUAACUGCUUUGUACGGUAACGAAACGGUACGGAGCGUCUAAUACAGUUG
This 441-nucleotide ribosomal RNA is filed under the name uncultured bacterium. RNAcentral describes it as "bacterial SSU rRNA". It matches the Rfam family "Bacterial small subunit ribosomal RNA", at positions 30 to 472 of the family's 1533-position model. The record is from RNAcentral.